Molecule: ribosomal RNA, 456 nt
Filed under: uncultured bacterium
Lineage: Bacteria
Description: bacterial SSU rRNA
Rfam family: Bacterial small subunit ribosomal RNA
Source: RNAcentral
UACGGGAGGCAGCAGUGGGGAAUAUUGCACAAUGGGCGAAAGCCUGAUGCAGCUAUGCCGCGUGUAUGAAGAAGGCCUUAGGGUUGUAAAGUACUUUCAUCGGGGAGGAAAAAACAAAACUAAUAAUUUUAUUUCUUGACGUUACCCGAAAAAGAAGCACCGGCUAACUCCGUGCCAGCAGCCGCGGUAAUACGGAGGGUGCUAGCGUUAAUCAGAAUUACUGGGCGUAAAGAGCACGUAGGUGGUUUUUUUAGGUCAGAUGUGAAAUCCCUGGGCUUAACCUGGAACUGCAUUUUGAAACUGAAAUACUAGAGUAUCGUAGAGGGAGGUAGAAUUCUAGGCGUAGCGGUGAAAUGCGUAGAUAUCUGGAGGAAUACCUGUGGCGAAAGCGGCCUCCUAAACGAAUACUGACACUGAGGUGCGAAAGCGUGGGGAGCGAAACAGGGAUUAGAUACC